UUUACCCAUUCACUGAUUGAUGGACACUUAGGUUGCUUCCACGUCUUGGUUAUUGUACGUAGUGCUGCUGUGAGCAUUGACGUGCAUGCAUCUUUUUGAAUUAGUGCCUAGGAGUGGGAUCACUGGAUCAUACGGCAAGUCUAUUUUCAAGUUUUUAAGGAACCUCUGUACUGUUUUCCAUAGUGGCAGCUCCAAUUUACAUUCCCUUCAUCAGAACAGGAGGGUUCCCUUCUCUUCACACCAUCUCUAGCAUUUAGUAUUUGUAGAUUUUUGAUGAUGGCCAUUCUGACCUGUGUGAGGUGAUGUUUCAUUAUGGUUUUGAUUCUCAUUUCUCUACUAAUUCCUGAUGUAGAGCACCUUGCAGAUGCCUGUUGGCCAUCUGUAUGUCUUCUUUGUAGAAAUGUCUAUUUAGUUCUUCUGCCCAUUUUUUGAUUUUUGUUUUUUGAUAUUGAGUUGUAUGAGCUGUCAAAGAAACAAUUAAUGAGGAAUUGAAAGGAUAAAGAAACUUAGAUUUGGCAUGUGUAAUUUGCAAAGAAUCUAAACAGAGUUUGGGUUUGGGGUAGUAAACAAAAAAUGUAACAGGAGGCUUCCUGGCUGUAAUUCUCUGUCUCCACUGUAAGGCUGUCUUUCUUUCGGAUGCAGGAAAUGCACUUUUUUUUUUGGCUGUGCUGGAUUUUCAUUGCGGCAUGCAAGCGCUCUAGUUGUAGCAUGUAGGCUUAGUUGCCAUGUGGCACAUGGGAUCUUAGUUCCUCAAGCAGGGAUUGAACCCAUGUCCUCUGCAUCAGAAGGUGGAUUCUUAACCACCAGGCCACCAGGGAAGUCCCUGGGAGUACACUUGUCACAUGAGAGAUUUAUUUCCUGCUUUUCAGGGAGAUAGAAGAGGGUCAGAAUUUUCUUCUUGGGUUCACCACUUCUCAAGCAGCUUCAAUUCAAAAUAAUUAAUAUGCCAUUGUAGCAUAUUUUGGGGUGGCCCACCCUCAGCCCCAACAUCAUGUUACAAGAAACCUAUUACAAUGUCUUUCCAGAGAAAAAAAUGUGUAAAUAUGGGAUCAUUGAAAAGAUCAGACUAUCCUCCAUAUAUGUGCUUUGCUUUCAAGCAUUAUCAUUUAAGAAGAAUAGAGGAUUCUCUAAUUAAAGAGCAACCUUGACCUAAAGAGGUAUUUUACAAUGUUAUGUUAGUUUCUAAAGCAAUUAUACUCCAAUAAAAAAUAAUAAUAAGAAAAUGAUGGCUGAAGUAGGUGGUCCAUUAGGGAGGGGCUUGAAAAAGUUUGUUUAUUUAUAAAGAUUAUUAUAAUGAUUUGGUUAUUGUCUCAUUUUUUAAAUAAUGAAAUCAGGUAUGAAAGUAAAAAAUAAUAGAGGUGUUUUAAACAUAUGAUUGUUCAGUUAAGAGAAAACAGACUGUUCUAUGCAUUUAUAAGGGUUUUCCCAGUGGUUCAGCAGUAAUUUGCCCACAAUACAGGAGCUGCAGGAGACUCAGUGAUAUUCUCCAGAUCCAGGAUUUGAUCCAUGGGUCGAGAAGAUUCCCUGGAGGAGGGCAUGACAACCCAUUCCAGUACUCUUGCCUGGAAAAUCCCAUGGAAAGAGGAACCUGGUGGGUUACAAUCCAUAGGGUCGCAAAGAGUUGGACACGACUCAGGUGACUUAGCCUGCAUGCAGGCAUGCGUUUAUAAGUAACAGCUGGGGAGGUGUGGGGGAAGGUUGAGGGUUGGCGGAGACAGAAAUAGCACUCACAUUCUAGGCUUUGUUGGCUCACGCAGAAUUUGGGAGGAAAGCACAUCCUCCUUGAUGACACAGCAGAGGAACUUCCUCCUGUUCCCAGCUGGCCUCACGACAGGCUCUUUUCUGUCUCACACAUUCAGCCCUGAGAGUCAGGUGAUGACUCCGGCCACCCUGCUUCGGGCACUGUGCCUCCCGUGUUCCUUUACACGGCCUGGCCCCCAGCUGUUUCACGGUGGAGGCAUCUGACACUCUGAUAAAUGAACAGGCCAUCGGAUAUUCCAUCCAACAGAGGGCAGUGGCUCACUGAAACUCUCACAUAACGUUUGCUCUGAAAAUAGAUUUUCCUGAAACUUUCCACUUAAAUAGCUGUGCAUUAACUUUCAGUGAGGCCAACCUAGUGGGAACUACGCAGAGCAUGGAACCCCAGAUGGUUGGGCAGCCACACGUGGUCACAGUUCUGCCUUAAUUCGCUGCUGAUUACUUCCUUUGAAAUUUGCAGCCAGAUUCUAAACUAUUCACCUUUCAACAUCUGGAAAUGCUGAGCGCGUUUGGUCAUUUGUUCGUCUUGUUUAAGCUGUACACCCCGGUUGGGUAAGACUGUAUUUGCCAAAGCAGGGUAGACAUCGCUGAAAGAUUAGCCCUUCUGAAACGCUCUUCUAACCUAGACGAGCCGUAGAAGGUGCCUUGUGUGUGAUUUACACAGUGAAUGGCCCUGCUUUUGGAGCAAGUUAAUGAUAUAAUAUCCCCAUUUAUAUUCAGAGCAGUCAACACUUUCUAGCUCUCAGAAUAAUAAAAGCACCUGCAUUUAAUAUACAUGGAAGAAUGGGAAGGCAAAUAGCAGAUAAGGCACAAUCAGAGAAGGAGGGUCUGCCUAUUGAGGGUUGUCAACACUGGAUGGUUUUGAAGCAUCAUUCGCUGAAAGCCGUACAGGUCCACAGAGGAGAGACCAAAUAUUUCUCAGUUGGAAUUUCUAUCCUAAAUACCGCAGUGGAUCUCAAGGAGGAGAGUAAAGGUCUAAGGACCUCCGCUUUCCUUGUUUCCACAGCACAUUGAGCAUUGCAACCCGUCCCUGCAGGAUUAUGCUUCUAUGCACACAUGCUUGCUUUCUUCACUGGAUUGUCAGCUCCUUGGCGACAAGACACCUCUGGGUUUUGGUGAAAUCUGCUCGACAGUUCUGAGUGCCUCUGUGUCGCUAUGAUGAACCAGAAACAUUCAGAUCUCUGAGAAAGAUGGCAUAGAAGCAUUAAAAAAGAUUCUGCAUAGCCUGUCGUGGUCAGUGGAUGUUACGGAACUUCAAGUUUGGACAUCUGUUCUGCCUGAAGGAUAAAAUUUAUACAUUCCCAACAUCCAGCUUUGUCUACAUGCCUCUUGAGAGAAGUAGUCAAAGAAUGGCACGCCCCUCAAGACUUCAUCAAUCCAACAAAGACAUACGCUUGCUGAACCAUGAUGAUUAACACUGAGUUUUCUGGGUCAGAGAAAUCAGACCUUCCUGAUAGAAACCUUUGAAACAUCGACAUGUUUCAGAAAAUGCUACUUCAGUUUCUCUUGGGAAUUUACCAGUAUGCUCUGGAACGCUUUUCAGAAUUAAAGAAGAUAGCCUCUUUGUGCAUCAGUGUGGUUGCUGAUCUCCCAAGACGCUUGUUGGGUUUAUCCUCUCAUCCCUUCUCCUGCACUGUUGUGCCAAGUGGCUGGAGCCCGUGUCUAUGGCCUAAGUCACCAUUCCUUCCCCACAGUGGCAGCAUGCAUACAUGUGUGCUCAAUCGUGUCUGAAUUUUGCAACCCCAUGGACUGCAGCCCACCAGGCUUCUCUGUCCAUGGAAUUCUCCAGGGGCUGCUGUGAGGGUUAACAACUAUAAAUGGAAAAGAGGCAGAAGAAUUACUGGCUGAAGACUGGAGACAGCCAGCUAGGUUUCUAGUUCCUCCGCUUACCAGCUGCUGCUGUGUCAGGCUGGACUCCACUUCUUCAGUCUGCUGGCUUCCAGCUCUGCAGUAUGGCUUUUGCUCUCCUGGCCUGGUUUCGGGCGGAGUGUCUCAGAAGUAUUGAUCAGACUUGAUCUUGGUCUCGUUAGUGCUGUGGCCCCAGGAGACCCUCCGCUCCUCUUCCUGCCUUGGCACCAGGCUUUUCCGGUUCUUUUCUUGCUCUUUCUCUCACUGUGCUCAGUUGGUUCCUGUGCCUCCAUCGACUCUUGAAACAAGGUCAUCCUCCAUGUUCUUUCCCCGUCUAUACUGAUGACUCCUGAGUCUACAUCACUAGCUACUGAGAGUCACACUUGAAUUUUCAUCCCCCUCACCUCCUGGGUCCACAUGAAGGUUCCAGCAGCUUCUCAAACUGUACAAGUCUGGGUUUUCUCAGUAGCAUCUGUUCUCUCUCCAUCUUGUGCCCUCACCUCCUCUGUCCUCACUGACUCUUGGAUAAAAAGCCUCACCUUCUCUGACUCCUUCAGUCUAGAAACAUCUUUGUCUUUUUUAUUUCUUUUUUUGCCACUUUCUCUUAUUCCCAGGUUUUGCAUUUUCUUGUUUGACCAGAGGACUUGAGUCUCCCCUCCUUUCUUGUCCUGCUACCAUUGCCCUUAUGAUUAUAUUAAUAGUAACCUCUUGGCUGAUCUGUCUGCCUCCAAACUAGCCCUUGUUGUGCUGCUGGAACUAACUUCUCAAAAUGCCUGUAAUACUGCUUGUUGUACUACUUCAUAUAAUAGUUGCUCAAUAAACACUACUUUAUUACUUCCUCAGCUUCAAUGACUUUAUCUAUUAGUAGAGUUGAC
Bubalus bubalis (water buffalo) is the source of this 4481-nucleotide long non-coding RNA. RefSeq lists it as uncharacterized. The record is from RefSeq and is a predicted model, not a curated record. NCBI's taxonomy places the organism in Eukaryota, Metazoa, Chordata, Mammalia, Artiodactyla, Bovidae. The transcript is spliced from 9 exons.